RNAcentral lists this small nuclear RNA (73 nucleotides) under Lucilia cuprina (Australian sheep blowfly). RNAcentral's name for it is "U4 spliceosomal RNA". It matches the Rfam family "U4 spliceosomal RNA", at positions 7 to 77 of the family's 138-position model. From Rfam's summary of the family: U4 small nuclear RNA (U4 snRNA) is a component of the major U2-dependent spliceosome. The structure of U4 snRNA from yeast and human has been reported. The record is from Rfam by way of RNAcentral. Lineage: Eukaryota; Metazoa; Arthropoda; Insecta; Diptera; Calliphoridae.
AGGCGCAGAGGCGAUAUCGUAACCAAUGAGGUUCUACCGAGGUGCAAUUAUUGCUAGUUGAAACUCAUCUUCG